RNAcentral lists this non-coding RNA (25 nucleotides) under Rattus norvegicus (Norway rat). Lineage: Eukaryota; Metazoa; Chordata; Mammalia; Rodentia; Muridae. The record is from RNAcentral.
UGGGAGCUGACUUGGAAAUUGCAUA